Molecule: ribosomal RNA, 380 nt
Filed under: uncultured eukaryote
Lineage: Eukaryota
Description: partial 18S ribosomal RNA
Rfam family: Eukaryotic small subunit ribosomal RNA
Source: RNAcentral
CAAUAGCGUAUAUUAAAGUUGUUGCGGUUAAAAAGCUCGUAGUUGGAUUUCUGCCGAGGACGACCGGUCCGCCCUCUGGGUGAGUAUCUGGCUCGGCCUGGGCAUCUUCUUGGAGAACGUAGCUGCACUUGACUGUGUGGUGCGGUAUCCAGGACUUUUACUUUGAGGAAAUUAGAGUGUUUCAAGCAGGCUUACGCCUUGAAUACAUUAGCAUGGAAUAAUAAGAUAGGACCUCGGUUCUAUUUUGUUGGUUUCUAGAGCUGAGGUAAUGAUUAAUAGGGAUAGUUGGGGGCAUUCGUAUUUAACUGUCAGAGGUGAAACUCUUGGAUUUGUUAAAGACGGACUACUGCGAAAGCAUUUGCCAAGGAUGUUUUCAUUGA